This 484-nucleotide ribosomal RNA is filed under the name uncultured bacterium. Its description in RNAcentral is "partial 16S ribosomal RNA". It matches the Rfam family "Bacterial small subunit ribosomal RNA", at positions 30 to 507 of the family's 1533-position model. The record is from RNAcentral.
AUUGAACGCUGGCGGCAGGCCUAACACAUGCAAGUCGAGCGGAUGAAGGGAGCUUGCUCCUGGAUUCAGCGGCGGACGGGUGAGUAAUGCCUAGGAAUCUGCCUGGUAGUGGGGGAUAACGUCCGGAAACGGGCGCUAAUACCGCAUACGUCCUGAGGGAGAAAGUGGGGGAUCUUCGGACCUCACGCUAUCAGGUGAGCCUAGGUCGGAUUAGCUAGUUGGUGGGGUAAAGGCCUACCAAGGCGACGAUCCGUAACUGGUCUGAGAGGAUGAUCAGUCACACUGGAACUGAGACACGGUCCAGACUCCUAAGGGAGGCAGCAGUGGGGAAUAUUGGACAAUGGGCGAAAGCAUGAUCCAGCCAUGCCGCGUGUGUGAAGAAGGUCUUCGGAUUGUAAAGCACUUUAAGUUGGGAGGAAGGGCAGUAAGUUAAGACCUUGCUGUUUUGACGUUACCAACAGAAUAAGCACCGGCUAACUUCGUG